CAAAGUGAUUUGCUCAAUUUUCUUUUUCUGUAUAUCCUUAUACAUUUUUAAGGCAGAUUUAUUGCUAGUAAAAGUGCUGGCUGGACAAAGCUCUCUCAUGCUGUGCGCUUGCUUUUUCUUCUCCUGAAUGUUUUUAAACCUCUCUAGGUGUUUUGUCUUUUUGACAUAGACUGGCAGAGUAGGCAUCCUGGAUUCCCGGUUCACGGCUGCAGGGGCUUUGCUGGCUUGCUGGCUGCCCAGCCUAGCCAACUCCAGCCCUGCAGGGCCCACUCAGCGGGUGUACAGCACCAGAUGGAGAGAGGGAAGGCAGACCCAGCAAGAAUCCUCACGAAGAGGAGCUAGCAUCCCGGGGAAGAAAAAGAUCGUGCAGGACCAGUUGGACAAGAGCCCAGCUCUGAGUAACUCCCUGCAUUCAGGGAAAAUAAAAUCACAAAUGAGAACAGCAGGGGGCCAAGGACCAGCUGGAGACAAAAGGGUGUUAGCUUCGGGGUGGGGGCUGUGAGACAAGCAAGGCUCUAGUGAGAUAUUCCAAAGUCUGGCCUGCCAUGGACAGCUGCCAUCCGAGCUGCAGGCCUGGAAUGUUGUCACAAGCUCAGCGAGCCAUCCUGUCUGCCUCAGCCCAGGACCCGGAAAGACUGAUGAGACAAGAAAGGCCUUGGGCUUCCUCUUGCCUCCUGCAUCUUUUAGCCUUCCCUGAACAACCCUGGCAACUUAGCAGGUUUGUCACUUACUGCCUCCCCAGCCCAUUCAGUCCUACAAAAGUGGAGGUGGUGAUUGACUGA
This 782-nucleotide long non-coding RNA is filed under the name Pan paniscus (pygmy chimpanzee). Its description in RNAcentral is "lncRNA (ENSPPAG00000044779.1)". Lineage: Eukaryota; Metazoa; Chordata; Mammalia; Primates; Hominidae. The record is from RNAcentral.